GGUAUUUGGUUUUGGUUUUGGGAGAGUUUUGGAGUGUUAUGGGACACAUAGUCCCUAAAGUGGGAGUUUAAGUCGUAGGAGUUUAUGUAGUUUGACUUAUGUGAAGACGACUCCGUAAUAGAGUUUUGAUGGUUCUAAUAGAUGCGUAUGGUGAUUUCGGUCUUAGGAGCGUGUUCGGACGUUGAUUUAGAGGUCUGUAGGUCAUUUCGGUGUGAGUUGGCGAAAGUUGGAAAAUUGGUGGAAUUUUGGGAAGUUUGACCGGGAGUGAAGUUUUUGAUAUCGGUGUCGGAUUUUGAUUUCGGAAGUUAAAAUAGGUCUGUAAUGUCAAUUAUAACUUGUGUGCAAAAUUUGGUACCAAUUGGAGUUGUUUUGGUAUGAAUCGGCGUUGGUUCCGGAAUUUGGAAGUUCAUAGUUGCUUAAGCUUGAAUGUGGGUUGCGAUUUAUUGAAUUCAUGUUGUUUGAUGUAAUUUUUUGCCUCCAGUAGGUCCAUUAGGUAUUUUGUAACUAUUUGGGAUACUCGGACGGGGUCUCGGGGGCCCUGGGUGUGAUUCAAAUCGAUAUCGGAUCACUUGUUGGACUUGUGCAUUUUUUGAAAAAUCACAGCUUCUGGUGUCAUCGCACCUGCGGAGGAUAUGACCGCAGGUGCGGACUCGGAUGUGCGUGUGAGGGAGAGCUGAAGCGGAGGAGGCAUCCCAGGCCAUUACUCGCAAGUGCGAAAAAGGAUCCGCAGAAGCGGCUUCGCUUCUGCAGUGAGGAGAAGCGCUAGAGCGAUUGUGGUUGCAGGUGCGACACUUCAUCCGUAGAAGCACAAGCGCAUGUGUGCUUGGGGCGUGCGCAGAAGCAAGCUUUAAGUACCUAAAUGAGGGCCACACAUGCGAUGAUUUUUUCGCAAGUGCGGAGCCACAUAUGCGGAAGUAAGGUCUCAGAUGCGACAUAACUGGACAGAAAAUGGAAUUUUUCGAGGGUUUGCUUCAUUUUCAUUUUUGAGACUUUGAGAGAUCGGAUUGAGGCAAGAUUUUGAGGGAUUUUCAGAGGAUAUUUUAGGGUAAAGAUUUUUUACUCGUUUUUUUCUAAACCCCAUGAAUCUACUGUUAAUUCUAUCUUCUAAUUUGUGUUUUGGAGUUCAUAAUUAGGGAAAAUGUGUAGAAGUUCUUAGACUAAAUUCUUGAGUUUUCAAAGGUGAAAUGGGAUCGAAUUUGAAUAAUUCUUGUAUGGUUGGACUCGAUAUCGAAUGGGUAUUCAAUUUUUAUAAUUUUGGUCGGGUUCCAAGACGCGGUCCCGGGUUGACUUUUUGGGGCGAUUUUUCCAUUCUUUGCUAAAAUCAUAAUUUCAUUAUUUAAACUAGUUUCCUAUAGUUAUAUUUAUAGUAUGAAAUUGUUUUGGCUAGAUUCGAGCCGUUCGGAGUUGAAAAAUCGAGGGAAGGGCCUUCUAAUUGAUUGAUUGAGCUUGGUUUGAGGUAAGUGAC
RNAcentral lists this long non-coding RNA (1465 nucleotides) under Nicotiana tabacum (common tobacco). RNAcentral's name for it is "long non-coding RNA (NTAB_LNC003655)". Lineage: Eukaryota; Viridiplantae; Streptophyta; Magnoliopsida; Solanales; Solanaceae. The record is from RNAcentral.